RNAcentral lists this ribosomal RNA (305 nucleotides) under uncultured bacterium. Its description in RNAcentral is "bacterial SSU rRNA". It matches the Rfam family "Bacterial small subunit ribosomal RNA", at positions 333 to 631 of the family's 1533-position model. The record is from RNAcentral.
GUACCCUACGGGAGGCAGCAGUAGGGAAUCUUCGGCAAUGGGCGAAAGCCUGACCGAGCAACGCCGCGUGAAUGAAGAAGGCCUUCGGGUUGUAAAAUUCUGUUAUAAGGGAAGAAAGGUGAUAGGAGGAAAUGACUAUCAAUUGACGGUACCUUAUGAGAAAGCCACGGCUAACUACGUGCCAGCAGCCGCGGUAAUACGUAGGUGGCAAGCGUUAUCCGGAAUUAUUGGGCGUAAAGAGUGCGCAGGUGGUUAAUUAAGUCUGAUGUGAAAGACCACGGUUUAAAUGUGGAGGGUGAUUGGAA